GGUGUCUCAAUGGUAGAGCGCUUGCCUUGCAUGCAUGAAGCCCUGGGUUCGAUUCCCCAGCACCA
RNAcentral lists this transfer RNA (65 nucleotides) under Dipodomys ordii (Ord's kangaroo rat). It matches the Rfam family "tRNA". From Rfam's summary of the family: Transfer RNA (tRNA) molecules are approximately 80 nucleotides in length. Their secondary structure includes four short double-helical elements and three loops (D, anti-codon, and T loops). The record is from Rfam by way of RNAcentral. Lineage: Eukaryota; Metazoa; Chordata; Mammalia; Rodentia; Heteromyidae.